UGGCGCGAGUGCUGGCGGGCGGCCUUUUCCGGCCUCUGCAGCAGCGCGGGCGGCGCAGUAGCUGGGGACGCGCGGGCCUGGGCCGAGCCUUGCAGGCUGCAGAACAGUCUGGAAAAGCGCUUUUCUGGGUAAUAGUCCAGGCCCUCAUGUUCUCAUCAGAUAAGUGACGGGCCGCAGAGCUAGGUGAGAUCCGGACUGGAGGCCCUGCUCGGGAAACUGAUGCCGAGCUCGCUUUCCGCAGCGCAGCAGGGAACCAAAGCCUCUUGCCAACAGCCAUGUGUGUGUGCCGUCUUGUGAACAUAUCUUCCAGCCCCAGUCAAGUCUUCCAGUGGCUACAGCCCUGUCUGAGAUCUUGACUGCAAUAUCCAGAACCAUAGCUGCCCAGGAUCUGCUUCUGGGACAUCCAGACGACGAGGUCUAGAAAGAAGGAUCUGCUAAGGAAGUUUCAACUGUGAAGGGGAGGUUUCCAUGAGGCAGAGCCAGGGGCCUUGGCUAACUUACAACAUCAGCAGGAUGGCUGGAAUGAUCAGGCCUGGAUUGGCGAUGAACGCAAAGAUCUUGCCCAGGAAGGUUGGAAAAUCAUUUUCAACGGUCUCUUGGAUGACGUCAUACAUUCUGUUUUUCCCACUGGGAAGAAGAGGACACAUUACAGCAUGCUGCAAAGCUCACACAGCACACGACUGUGUGCACGCCCCUCCCAAAGCUGCCGCUCACUACUGAGCUGGAAGAACCACAGAUCUGCCCCUAAUGGACUGCAAAUAAAAAUGCCCCCCAAGGGGCUGCCCUUUUGUCUCAGGAUUAUAGCCAGGUCAGUGCGCUCACAACUUCUCAAACUACACUGGCCUUCUGCGUCUGACAUCUUAUGGGCUUUCCCCUAUACUCUCAUGGGAGAACAUUGCCUGUAAUAUAGCUAUGGGACCGACACAGCUUCCCAUGCAUGGGAAUAGUUCUCUAAAGGCUGACGUGAUGGGCGACCUCAUGGUGCCUCUUGAUUUUUUACUAUCAGGCUCUUUACAGAAAAGCUUAGCUGAUCCCUGGUGUAGAUAAUACCUCUUACCUCAUAGCAUUGUGAUGAGUGCCAGCUACCCCCAACUUGGUCAGGGCUCAGGCUUAACAAACUUGCUUAUAUGCCUUAUUAUAGACUUGUACACCCCUCUAAGUACUUUACAAAUAAUAACACACUAAAUCCUCAAAACAACCCUAUGAGGUAGGCCCUACUGUUACUUCCAUCUUAUAGGCAUGAACCUGUGGUAUAGAGAGCUAAGAAACUUGCUCAGGAUGACCCAGCUGGCAAUUGACAGAGCUGGUUCUAGAAUCUAUGUUCUAAAUCAGAGGGCUGGCAAUUCUUUUCUGAAAAGAGAUAGAUAAUAAAGAUUUUAGGUUUUGUGAUCCAGAAGGUCUCUGUUGGUAUUACUCACUUCUGCUGUGGUAUGGAGAAAGCAGCCGUAGAGUAUAUGCAAGCCAACAGGUGUGGCUGUGUUCCAAUAAAACUGUGUUUAUAAAAGCAGGUUGGUGGUCUGGAUUU
Myotis myotis is the source of this 1525-nucleotide long non-coding RNA. RefSeq lists it as uncharacterized. Lineage: Eukaryota; Metazoa; Chordata; Mammalia; Chiroptera; Vespertilionidae. The transcript is spliced from 3 exons. The record is from RefSeq and is a predicted model, not a curated record.